ACCUAUAAAUAGGGGGACAAAAAACUGAACAAGGCUGUUAAAGAAAUAUUGCUAAUACAAGACUUCUACCGUUAUGGGGAGCAACAACAUGGACGAGAACUUUUUUCUUGACAUUCCAGAUGCCGCGCUAGAAGCUUUAAAUUUGAACAAGAUGGAAGUCAAAACCACCCAAUAGGUUUUCCUGAAAUUACAGACGAAGGUGUGAACUGUUUUUUAAAUAUGUGUUUUUUUUUAAAUUGACGUUGGAAAUAGUGUGCAUUUUAGGGGUUUGUUUGUUAUUGUUAGGGAAAAAAACCCUUAAAGGUUUUACUGUACAAAAGCUGCCGUUGUACAGCCCCAAGGGGGGUGUAAACUAAAAGAGCGCUUUAUUUUGUACAUUAUACUUAAACGCGGUUUUUAGCCCCCUUAUUGCAAAAACGUUUUUAA
This is a long non-coding RNA of Gopherus evgoodei (Goodes thornscrub tortoise), 426 nucleotides long. RefSeq lists it as uncharacterized. The transcript has 3 exons. The record is from RefSeq and is a predicted model, not a curated record. Lineage: Eukaryota; Metazoa; Chordata; Testudines; Testudinidae.